This 5724-nucleotide small RNA is filed under the name Arabidopsis thaliana (thale cress). Its description in RNAcentral is "ATSL197040". The record is from RNAcentral. Lineage: Eukaryota; Viridiplantae; Streptophyta; Magnoliopsida; Brassicales; Brassicaceae.
AAAAUACUCAUCUUAUUAAUCAUCAAUGUCAUGAUCGUUACAACUCCAAACGAAAAUACAAAUGAAAGAGAAAUAAGAACAACAACUCAAAAGCUCAAAAACUCAAUAACACUGAAACUGGAAACCAAUGAUAGGCAAACUCAUGCAGCAACCUGCUUCUCAAAGCACUUCUUGAACCUUGCCUUCAUCCUCGCAUCUGGCUCCCAAGUCUCCUCUGUCACACCAUCGCAGUCCCACAGGACUUUGAUCAAAGGAAUCUUCUUCCGCCGAAGUUCCUUGAUCCUCCUCUCGAGAACCCUCACUGGUCUCGCCUCCAAAGUCAUGUUGGGCUGAAGAUCCUUUGGAAUCUUAGCCAACACCUCAUCAUCCUUGUGAAGACACUUCCUCAGCAUCGACACAUGAAAGACCUUGUGAAACGCACGCAUAACAUCAGGCAACUGUAACCUGUAUGCCACUGGUCCCACCCGCUCAACAAUCCUGAACGGACCCAUGUACCUCGGACUCACCUUAGUCUCUGAGAUAGACCUGUUCGGACAUUGCAACAUGGCCAUCUUGAGAUACACUCUGUUCCCAACCUCAAACUCAAGCUCUCUCCUCCUCUUGUCAACAUAACUCCGUUGUCGAUCCUGAGCUUCCUUUAUGUUCAGCUUAAGAACCCGGAUCCUCUCCGUGCUCUCCUGAACAUAAUCUGCACCAUAUAUGCUCCUCUCCCCCACUUGGGUCCAGCAUAACGGUGUCCUGCAUGGCCUCCCGUAUAACGCCUCAAAAGGAGCCAUCCCAAUACUCGCAUGAUAGUUGUUGUUAUAAGCAAACUCUACGAGACUCAAGUGAUCCGCCCAAUGACCUCCCCAAUCCAAGACACACAUCCGCAACAUAUCCUCAAGCGUCUGAAUAGUCCUCUCAGAUUGCCCAUCUGUCUGUGGAUGAUAAGCCGUGCUCAUCUGCAACUUAGUGCCCAUCUCUGCUUAAAAGGCUCUCCAAAACGCAGAAGUAAACUUGGAAUCCCUGUCUGAUACAAUACUCACAGGUACUCCAUGCAACUUCACGAUCUCGCUCACAUAUUUCUUAGCCAACACCGUCGCUGCGUCGGUUUUUCUGAUGGCUAGAAAAUGUGCUGACUUAGUCAGACGGUCCACGAUCACCCAAAUAGGAUCUUUGGUUCGCGACACAGGUAACCCAACCACAAAAUCCAUCGUGAUAAAAUCCCACUUCCACUCAGGAAUGGAUAAACUCUGCAACAGGCCACCCGACACCUGAUGUUCAGCCUUAACUAACUGGCAAACAUCGCACUCUGCGACCCAAUUAGCUACAUCCUUCUUCAUCCCGACCCACUAAUAAUACCGCUUGAGGUCUUGGUACAUCUUAGUCCCUCCUGGAUGAAUAGAAAACAUGCUCGCAUGAGCCUCACUCAAGAUCUCCCUUCGCAACUCCUCAUCCUUAGGCACACAAACUCGCCCAUGCACAAGAAUAGUCCCAUUAGCUGCAAACUGAUACUCAGAGCCCUCUGCCUUAGAAGCCGCAAUCAACCCCUCAUCUUUCUCCUGAGCCAACCGAACUCUAGUCAGAAGAUCUGCUCGAUCCACAGCUUCCAAUCCCAAUGGCUCUCGUGCCACAACACACAACCGCAAAGCACCAAUCUCACUCACCAAGGCCUCAACACUCUGCCCUGGAGCUGCACCCAUGCGCUUACGGCUCAACGCGUCUGCAACCACAUUAGCCUUACCAGGAUGGUAAGCUAUCUCCAGAUCAUAAUCAGCCAACAGCUCCAUCCAUUGCCUUUGCCUCAAGUUCAGCUCUGGCUGAGUGAAUAUAUACUUCAAACUCUUAUGAUCCGUGAAUACCUACAGUUUCCCGCCAUAAAGAUAAGACCUCCAAAUCUUUAAGGCAAAGAUUACUGCAGCCAUCUCCAAAUCGUGAGUACGAUAGUUGCCCUCAUGCUUCCUCAACUGACGUGAUGCAUAAGCAAUAACCUUCCCACGCUGCAUCAGAACACAACCCAAACCAACUCUCGAGGCAUCAGUAUACACCAUGUAAGGCUCUCCAUGCUCUGGCAAUGCUAACACUGGUGUACUCGUCAACAUCUCCUUCAGACUCACGAAACCCUCCUCGCACUCCGGUGACCACACAAAAGGGACAUCCUUCCUUGUCAGCUUAGUCAUCGGCUGUGCCAUACUCGCAAACCCCUUGACGAACCUCCUAUAAUACCCUGCCAACCCAAGAAAACUCCUGAUCUCAGUGGCAUUCGUCGGUCUAGGCCACUCUCUAAUUGCCUCAAUCUUCCCUGGAUCUACUGAAAGUCCCUCUUCAGAAACAAUGUGACCUAGAAAACCCAUCUCUCUCUGCCAGAACCUGCACUUGCUCAACUUAGCGAACAGCUUCUGCUCCCGCAGUUUCUCCAUCACUCUCCUCAGAUGUACCUCAUGCUCCUCAUGACUCUUAGAAUACACCAGGAUGUCAUCAAUAAAGAUGAUCACAAACUCAUCCAAAAACUCCUGAAACACGCUGUUCAUUAACCUCAUGAACACUGCAGGUGCAUUAGUCAAACCGAAAGGCAUCACCACGAACUCAAAAUGUCCAUAUCUCGUCCUGAAAGCAGUCUUACGAACAUCUGCCUCCUCUAUCGGGAUCUGGUGAUAACCCGACGUCAAAUCGAUUUUGGAGAAACAAGUAGCACCCCUCAACUAAUCCAACAACUCAUCGAUCCUUGGCAAAGGGUACUUGUUCUUCACAGUGACCCGGUUUAACCCCCGGUAGUCAAUACAUAAGCGGAAACUCCCGUCCUUCUUCUUCACAAAUAACACCGGCGCUCCCCAAGGUGAAGUACUAGGACGAAUGAAUCCCUUACCCAACAAAUCCUCUAGCUGCUUCUUCACCUCUGCCAUCUCUGCUGGAGCCAUCCUGUAGGGUGCCUUAGACAACGGCGCUGUCCCUGGUUCCAACUCAAUCGUGAAAGGAUCAGACCGUGAUGGUGGUAAUCCCUGCAACGAUUGAAUCACAUCCUCGAACGCUUGAACAACUCGAAUGUCGCUCACUGCUACCUGCCCCACAGACUCCGGCAUAGAUAUUGUCACCAGGUAAGCCUUGCAGCCCUUCUCGAUCAUUUUUUCUGCCUGCACUGCUGAGAUGACGAGACUCCCUGAGGUAGGUCUCACUCUCUGAUAAACCAACCUCCCCUCUAGCCGCUAAAAAAAAACUCUCCUACGGUGGCAGUCAAGAUGUACUCUGUAAUGAUCCAACCAAUCCAUUCCUAGAAUAACAUAAUACAAUUCUACAAGACUGAUAAUCAAAUUUGCUGGCAUCGACUCCCCUGCAAUCUGAAUAUCCACACCCUUCGCUCUCCCCAAAACCGCUAGAAACUGCCCUCUAGCAACAUUGACGGCUCCAAACUGCUCACCAGGAUCCCCGCGGAUGUUGCCGCACGAGGCACUCUCCGGGGUAAUGAAGCACUGCGAUGCUCCUGAGUCAAACAACACAUGGGCCUCUACACCGCCCACUAAUAAGGUCCCAGUAAUCGCUCUGUUGCUGGUACCGCCUAUCUCACGCGUAGUGUAACCCUGCGGUGCUGCUGCAAUAUGUGCUAACUGCUGCACUCCCUGCUGCACCAGCGCUCCGUGCUGCACCGCCGGCUGUAUUACAGCCACUGUCAUCCGCUACAGCUUAGGACAAUUUUGCCUGAGAUGUCCCCUCUCCCUGUAGUGUUAGCACUCCCUCGUCUCAGCUCGCUGCGUGCAAUCCGCUACCUUGUGGUCAAGGCUCCCACAAGAAAAACAAUAUGCCCGACCACCCUGUCCAGCUCUGGAAGGAUGAUCCCACUUCCUCUUCUGCCCAUGCGCAGGCUUGACGCCCUUGGUAGGUGCACCUGCUGCUGAGUCUUCUUCGGUUGUACCGCUGGACUCACUGCCACCACCUACCUUUGAAGGUCCUCCUCUACCUCAGCAGCCGUCUCCACCAGUGCCGCCUUCGUGGCAUACUGCGACACUCUACACCGCACCCUCAAAUUCUGUCGAAGUCCCCUCAAGAACCUCCUCAUCUAGGCCUGGUCAUCCUCCAUGCCCCGACCCGCAUACACCAAGUGUCGGUUAAACUCCCGGUCAUACUCCCGAACCGACCGCUCGCCCUGUGUCAGCUCAAGAAAACGCGCCUCUAUACGGUCGAGCGCCUCCUUCGGAAAGUACUUGGCAUUAAACUCAGCCACAAAAUUUGCCCAAGACAUAUCUGCCUGCCUCCUCCUGGCAGUCACACUCCGCCACCACAAAUGUGCAUCCCCCUCUAGAAAAUGCACUUCUAGAUCCACCCGAUACUCUGUUGGACAUCUGCUCGAACCGAAGUUCCGCUCAACCCGCGACCUCCAACUGUCGGCCUCCUCGGGACUAGUACCACCAGAAAAACACUCGGUGCCAAUCCUCUGCAACUACUCCUUCAUCCUCAAAUAAGAUGGAACCUCCUCAGCAACCGCAGCCCUCUGCUGCACCUCCCCCACUCGUGGCGCAACUCGAGCCUGCACUGGUACCACACCUGGUAACCGCUCCAACUCUGGAACCUAGGCUCUUCUGGCUGCGGCACCCAUCACUCCUGGGCCCUCAGCACCAAUGGCAUGCACACCGGCACCGACACCAGCUCCACCAGCCCACACUCCGGCUGCACCAGCUAUAUCGACACCAAGACUGUCCCUAACCCCGGGCUCCACAAACUUAGGCUGCGAACCCACACUCUGCUCAAGUGUGGCACUGUGGCCAUCACUCUCGCCGGUACCCUCGAGGACUCGUCCCCUACCGCGACCACGACCACGAACUCCAGCUCCUCUAACCAUCUGCGCUACUCAAGAACAAAUGGCUAAGAAACUAAAACAAACGAAUAUAUCACAAACAACUUACCGUGGAAUCUCAUUUAAGGCUCGAAGAAGAUGAUGCUAGGACUCCAACAACCCAAAAUUGACUAAACACUCCAUAACUAAUCCUCAGUAUGCUAACACCCUAGCUCAUCCCACAUCAAUCAUCAGGAAAAUAAUUUAUCAAUUAAUUAUUCUACACAUCCUAGAACCGUGAUCGUUCUGAUACCAAAUUGAAACAACCCAACCCAUUUUUUUAAAAUAAAUUAAAUAUUCCCAUAAAUAUCUAAUUAAACCAACCAAUAAAAUAACAAUUAAACCGCAAAUCAAAAAUAACAUUUUAUGAAUCACUAAAUAAUUUGACCAACAAAACCAAGAAUAACUAACAAUCCUAACUGGGUUCCAAUAACCAAAAACACCAAAAAUAAAACAAACGAGUUCCUAGAUCAUCCUCUCUUCCUUGCCAUGAUUCAACGAUCACACUUUAUCUUUACCUGCAUCAACAACACAAUGAGAUGCGUAAGUAUUAUCAUAAAUACUUAGUGAGUCGAUCCUCCCAUCUACGAGCUAUACACACAAGCAAAUAAAAGGGUAUAAUCACAAACACAAUACAAACAAACCAGUCAUUGAACAAUUCACCCAAAACACAUUCACCACACCUACAUAUCAUCACACAAAACAAAUUACACAACCCAAUCGCUCAGAUAAGCUCAUGGUCACGCACUCACCUUAACAAAUUGAUUCUAAUAACAAUUAAACUCAGGAGAGACUCUCCUUGCGUCUGAAACAGUCCAGAAACGUCGUACAACAAGUCACAACCAAAAGAAACCUUGAAGCAAACUGGACAAGAAAAACAGAAACAAACAACCUCAAACACGAAACCCUAAAAUACAAAG